UACGUAGGUGGCAAGCGUUGUCCGGAUUUAUUGGGUUUAAAGGGUGCGUAGGCGGUCUAUUAAGUCAGCGGUGAAAUACUCCAGCUUAACUGGAGGGGUGCCAUUGAUACUGAUGGACUUGAGUCAAGUCGGGGUAGGCGGAAUUGACGGUGUAGCGGUGAAAUGCUUAGAUAUCGUCAAGAACACCAAUAGUGAAGACAGCUUACUGGGCUUAAACUGACGCUGAGGCACGAAAGUGUGGGGAUCAAACAGG
RNAcentral lists this ribosomal RNA (253 nucleotides) under uncultured bacterium. Its description in RNAcentral is "partial 16S ribosomal RNA". It matches the Rfam family "Bacterial small subunit ribosomal RNA", at positions 524 to 776 of the family's 1533-position model. The record is from RNAcentral.